UCAAACCCACGCAGCAGCAGCAGCUGCCAUCAGAAAAAAACGAAGAAAGAAAGGGUUAGGAGGAAAAAGGGAUCAGAGAAGAGAAGAGGGAAUCCGAGAGAGAAGGAGAGCACCGGAGGAGGGAGGUCCUCGCGCCCUCCUCGUGAACCGUCGUUGCCUCGCGCCGUCAUUCUUGCCGUGAAUCCCGUUGCCCCUGUUGCAACUGUUCUCGCCGUCGUAUUUGCCGCGAAGCCAAUGCCACCGAUGCCAUCGUUGCACGAGAAAAGGAAGAGGCUCACAGUGGAGGACCUGAUGCGAAGAGGGGAUGGCGCAUGAGGGAGAGACAGAGGUCGCAAUGGAGUUGUCCCGCCGCCUACGCCACGCCCUACUACCGUCGCCGAGCUCCCAUAGCCACCGCGUUUCACCGCGGUUGAGGGUGUCUCCACCACCGAACCUUGGCCGAUGAUACUACCACUGCACACGAGAGGAAGAGGAGCGAUGAGACAGAAUGCGACUGAAGGAGAGAAAGGGGUUCAGGCCACCGCUGCUACUUGCAUUUUGAGCUGCUGCACCGCCUCUACCGCUGGAGAAUGUCGCUGUGUCGCUGAAAAACCACUGUUGCCGCCGCCUGGGUCACGUGGAGGGAGGUAGAGCCAUUGGGUGUCGCUGCACCUUGCUUCCGCCGCCUCUGUCGCCAGAAACAGCCACCGAGUCCACUGUUUUGGAUUGUGUAUUCGUGCUUGCAUUUCAUGCUCGAAGUUUGCCGCUGCCUCAUUUUAUCAUUUUAGUAGAGCUGUUUAUGCUGCUGCAAAAGUGUGUGGGGCUGUGCUGUGAAGUUGCCAGUGAUUUUGGGUUGUGAGAGAAUGUUCCUGUGACGCGUUUGGGUUAUGGUUUCGACGAGUUGAGGAUAUGGACGCAGAAGUUACGAAGAGUUUAUCUAGUUGUUGUUGUGAUGUUUUGUAUUGUUUUAGUUAUUAUUUAUUGUUCCCUCGCCUUUAUCUUUAUACAUUCUGUAAGAGGGAUAGGAAUUGUAUUAGUUAAUACUUGUAACACUAUUUCAUAUAUAUACAUAUGUAUGUACUCUUUGUGAGUUUUGUAAGUUGUAUGGUAUGUAUGGAUGUACGUUACCUAACAAAAGUAUUUUAGAGCGAUAUUGCAGUUUAAAGUUUUAAACAGGCUCAUAUUUUAGUAUUAAAUAAUAUAAAAGUCGUCGUAAUAUCUGAGCAAUCAGAGUGAUGCAGCUGGAAGCGUAACUUUUUUAUAGUUAGGGUAUUACAGUAGUUACCUGGUAAGAUUCAUUACAUUGCCUUUAGUUAUAUAUGCUUAAUUAAGUCACCUCAUAUAUGUCAUAACAUCUGGGGUUAUUUAGGUACUUGGGUCCAACUUGUAACACAACCUUGGCCUGCUUCAGUCAAUGGUGUCAUGUUGCAUCGGGUGUUCUUAAUUUUUCUUCUGUGUGUUGAGACUUUCAAGCACUACAAAUCACUUAUUUUUCUUAAUGGCACCCACUUGUAUGGUAAAUACGGAGGCACUUUGCUCAUGGCUAUUGCUCAAGAUGGCAAUUCAAACAUAUUACCUAUUGCAUUUUCCGUAGUCAAGGGUGAGACAAAAGAGGCUUGGUCAUUUUUUCUUUUGUAUCUGAGGCAGUAUGUGACACCCCAACUAGGCGUGUUGCUGAUUUCAGACAGGCACAAAUUGAUUGAUGCUGCGUUGAAUGCAGAUGGAAGUGGAUGGAAACCACCGCAUGCCUUCCAGGAAUUUUGUACAAGACAUAUUCCUGCUAACUUCAUGACACACUUCAAGAACAAGUACUUGAAGAAGGUGCUUGUUAACGUAGCAUAUUCAAAGUUGCAAAAGGAGUUCGCCCAUUAUUUUGGUCGUCUGAAGGGAAAGAAUGUCGCAAUCACAAAUGGCUUAAAGAAAUGACACGUUCAUCAUGGACGCAGUAUGCAAAUGAGGGUUGUUGGUUUGGGCACAUGACACAAACAUCUCUGAGUGCAUCAACGCUAUCAUGAAGGCUACUUGUAAUUUGCACUUCACCGCUCUUGUCAAAUUGACCUAUUUCCAUUUGGGUGAACUUUUUGUGACAAAGGGUUCAGAGGCUUAAGCACAGCUUCAUGUGGGUGUUGAAUUCUCACAGAUGUUAAUGAAGGCCAUCGAGUUCAACUCAAAGCACGUGAAUACAAUGAAUGUUUAUCAGUUUGCAUGAUCGGUCGAGGUUCACCUUCACGAUUGAGGAAUUAGCAGCAGUGCCCAGGUCCAAGCAACAGAAUUAUCAAGUACUUCUUGAUGAGGGUAAGUUAAACUGUUGGUACUUUUAAGCUCUUCAUAUUCUAUGCCAUCAUGUUCUAGUAUAAUGCUCUUAUGCACGACUUGAUUGGAGGCGGUUUGUCCAUCCCAUGUAUCGCAUGGAGACCGUCUUCAGUGUUUACAAAGUAGAGUUUAGACCAAUAGGUCACGACAGUGACUGGCCAUCAUAUGACGGGCCCGUAUCUAGUCCAAUCUUAGGUUAAUGAGAGUAAAGAGAGGUUGGUCUGUUAGCACCAGGAUCUGUAAUAAUAUGGACAAUGUUGA
This is a long non-coding RNA of Arachis stenosperma, 2553 nucleotides long. RefSeq lists it as uncharacterized. The record is from RefSeq and is a predicted model, not a curated record. The transcript is spliced from 5 exons. Lineage: Eukaryota; Viridiplantae; Streptophyta; Magnoliopsida; Fabales; Fabaceae.